Molecule: ribosomal RNA, 424 nt
Filed under: uncultured bacterium
Lineage: Bacteria
Description: bacterial SSU rRNA
Rfam family: Bacterial small subunit ribosomal RNA
Source: RNAcentral
UGGGGAAUAUUGGACAAUGGGGGAAACCCUGAUCCAGCAAUGCCGCGUGGGUGAUGAAGGCCUUCGGGUUGUAAAGCCCUUUUGGCGGGGACGAUGAUGACGGUACCCGCAGAAGAAGCCCCGGCUAACUUCGUGCCAGCAGCCGCGGUAAUACGAAGGGGGCUAGCGUUGUUCGGAAUUACUGGGCGUAAAGGGCGCGUAGGCGGCCUCGUCCGUCCGGCGUGAAAUGCCUGGGCUCAACCUAGGAAUUGCGCUCGAUACAGCGAGGCUAGAGUGUGGGAGAGGUUGGUGGAAUUCCCAGUGUAGAGGUGAAAUUCGUAGAUAUUGGGAAGAACACCGGUGGCGAAGGCGGCCAACUGGACCACAACUGACGCUGAGGCGCGAAAGCGUGGGGAGCAAACAGGAUUAGAUACCCCCGUAGUCC